Molecule: transfer RNA, 73 nt
Filed under: Danio rerio (zebrafish)
Lineage: Eukaryota; Metazoa; Chordata; Actinopteri; Cypriniformes; Danionidae
Description: tRNA-Arg (TCT) (tRNA-Arg-TCT-9-1)
Rfam family: tRNA
About the family: Transfer RNA (tRNA) molecules are approximately 80 nucleotides in length.
Source: RNAcentral
GGCUCUGUGGCGCAAUGGAUAGCGCAUUGGACUUCUAAUUCAAAGGUUGUGGGUUCGAGUCCCACCUGAGUCG